AGCAGCCGCGGUAAUUCCAGCUCCAAUAGCGUAUAUUAAAGUUGUUGCAGUUAAAAAGCUCGUAGUUGAAUUUCGAGAUCGGCUUACUGGUCGUGCUUUUGUACGUACUGGUAUAAUCGGUUUCUCCUUUCUGACGAACUAUAAUGCCAUUAAUUUGGUGUUAUAGGGAAUCAGGACUGUUACUUUGAAAAAAUUAGAGUGUUUAAAGCAGGCUCACGCUUGAAUACAUUAGCAUGGAAUAACGGAAUAGGACGUUUGAUUCUAUUUUGUUGGUUUCUAGGAUCGACGUAAUGAUUAAUAGGGAUAGUUGGGGGCAUUAGUAUUCAAUUGUCAGAGGUGAAAUUCUUGGAUUUAUUGAAGGCUAACUACUGCGAAAGCAUUUGCCAAGGAUGUUUUCAUUAAUCAAGAACGAAAGUUAGGGGAUCGAAGACGAUCAGAUACCGUCGUAGUCUUAACCAUAAACUAUGCCGACUAGGGAUCGGAUGAUGUAAUUUUUAAUGACUCAUUCGGCGCCUUACGG
Molecule: ribosomal RNA, 520 nt
Filed under: uncultured Glomus
Lineage: Eukaryota; Fungi; Glomeromycota; Glomeromycetes; Glomerales; Glomeraceae
Description: SSU rRNA
Rfam family: Eukaryotic small subunit ribosomal RNA
Source: RNAcentral